Molecule: long non-coding RNA, 421 nt
Filed under: Mus pahari (shrew mouse)
Lineage: Eukaryota; Metazoa; Chordata; Mammalia; Rodentia; Muridae
Description: predicted gene 17099 (MGP_PahariEiJ_G0002272.1)
Source: RNAcentral
UCUUACUUCAGUGCUUUUAGGACUGGGCAAAGAAGACAACAAAGGCCUUUCAGACCCUUGCCUCAUCUACUCAGCCAGUGAUCUGGCCUCUCAGGAGAGAGCUGACUUCCCUUCCUUCAGUGGAAGGGAGAGCCUCCUUGGCUGAAUAACACUUCUGAGAGUCGGGUCAAUGUCCUGGCUUUCUGUCCAUGGGCCACAUGUCUCCAGGGUUUGGGAGAUGCAGGCGUGGCUGAGCUAGCCACUCUGACUCUACUCGGGGCGCCUCUGCAAUGUAUAUAUCUGAGUCCUUGGUUGCUGCAGGGAUACCAGAGUUUGUUCAAGGAUGCUCUUGUCCCAUGUCUGACUUUGAAGGCUCAUGCAGUAGGCAGGUGUCCGUGCCACCCUGUGGGGUACCUGCACACAGCAUCUCAGCGGUCACUUC